AACCGCGUACUUUUUGUAGAACGGUCCGGCGAGUUGCGCUGGCUGGCGAGGUUAAGCACCAAAGGUGUGGAGCCGAAGGGAAACCAAGUCUUAAUAGGGCGUUAUAGUCAGUCGGAGCAGACCCGAAACCGGGUGAUCUAUCCAUGUCCAGGUUGAAGUUGCCGUAAAAGGCAAUGGAGGACCGAACCCACAUCCGUUGAAAAGGGUGGGGAUGAGGUGUGGAUAGGGGAGAAAUUCCAAUCGAACCCGGAGAUAGCUGGUUCUCCUCGAAAUAGCUUUAGGGCUAGCCUCAUAUAAGUCUUGCGGAGGUAGAGCACUGAAUUUCCUAGGGGGCGUCAAAGCUUACCGAAGAAUAUCAAACUCCGAAUGCCGUGUAGAUGUUGUAUGGGAGUCAGACUGUACGAGAUAAGUUGGACAGUCAAAAGGGAAAGAGCCCAGACCUGCAGCUAAGGCCCCAAAAUGUGUGUUAAGUGGAAAAGGAUGUGGGAUUUCAAAGACAACUAGGAUGUUGGCUUAGAAGCAGCCAUACAUUCAAAGAGUGCGUAAUAGCUCACUAGUCGAGAGGUCCUGCGCCGAAAAUGUCCGGGGCUGAAACACACUGCCGAAGCUCAGGAAUGAUCCUAGAUCAUUGGUAGAGGAGCAUUGUAUACGGGACGAAGCAGUACCGAUAAGGAGCUGUGGACUGUAUAGAAGAGAGAAUGCCGGAAUGAGUAGCGAGAGGAAGGUGAGAAUCCUUCCGGCCGAAUAUCUAAGGUUUCCAGAGUAAAGCUGAUCUGCUCUGGGUAAGUCGGGGCCUAAGGCCAGGUCGAAAGACGUAACCGAUGGACAACAGGUUGAAAUUCCUGUACCUUAAGUAAACAGAACUGUGGGGACACGUGUGGAGAGCACAAGCCGGAAAUGGAAAAGCCGGUGCAAGCGAGGUAGGAGAUGAAUAGGCAAAUCCGUUCAUCAAUCCGAAGACGUGAUGCGGACCGAAUUAAGAGUAGGGAAGUGUGUGAGCCAUGCGUCAAGAAAAGCCGCUAUUGUUUUACUUAAGCCCGUACCGUAAACCGACACAGGUGGAUGAGGAGAGAAUCCUAAGGCCGACGGGAGAAGCAUUGUUAAGGAACUCGGCAAAAUGACUCCGUAACUUCGGGAGAAGGAGUGCCAGCGAGAGCUGGCCGCAGAGAAUUGGCCCAAGCAACUGUUUAGCAAAAACACAGGUCUAUGCAAAACCGUAAGGUGAAGUAUAUGGGCUGACGCCUGCCCGGUGCUGGAAGGUUAAGAGGAGAGGUUAGCGGUAACGCGAAGCUUUGAAUUUAAGCCCCAGUAAACGGCGGCCGUAACUAUAACGGUCCUAAGGUAGCGAAAUUCCUUGUCGGGUAAGUUCCGACCCGCACGAAAGGCGUAAUGAUUUGGGCACUGUCUCAACAAUGCACCCGGUGAAAUUGAAAUACCAGUGAAGAUGCUGGUUACCUGCGCCAGGACGGAAAGACCCCAUGGAGCUUUACUCCAGCUUGAUACUGGGAUUCGGUAUUGCAUGUACAGGAUAGGUGGGAGGCUAGGAAGUGAUGACGCCAGUUGUCACAGAGCCGCUGUUGGGAUACCACCCUUGCAGUAUUGGAUUUCUAACCAGCGACCAUGAACUGGUCGGGGGACAAUGUCAGGUGGGGAGUUUGACUGGGGCGGUCGCCUCCGAAAGGGUAUCGGAGGCGCUCAAAGGUUCCCUCAGAAUGGACGGAAACCAUUCGAAGAGUGCAAAGGCAGAAGGGAGCUUGACUGCGACACCGACGGGUGGAGCAGGUACGAAAGUAGGACUUAGUGAUCCGGUGGUAUAAAGUGGGAUUG
RNAcentral lists this ribosomal RNA (1827 nucleotides) under human gut metagenome. RNAcentral describes it as "bacterial LSU rRNA". It matches the Rfam family "Bacterial large subunit ribosomal RNA", at positions 595 to 2441 of the family's 2925-position model. The record is from RNAcentral.